GAUGAACGCUGGCGGCGUGCCUAACACAUGCAAGUCGAGCGAAGCGGUUUUAAGGAAGUUUUCGGAUGGAAUUAAAACUGACUGAGCGGCGGACGGGUGAGUAACGCGUGGGUAACCUGCCUCAUACAGGGGGAUAACAGUUAGAAAUGGCUGCUAAUACCGCAUAAGCACACAGCUUCGCAUGGAGCAGUGUGAAAAACUCUGGUGGUAUGAGAUGGACCCGCGUCUGAUUAGCUAGUUGGUAAGGUAACGGCUUACCAAGGCGACGAUCAGUAGCCGACCUGAGAGGGUGACCGGCCACAUUGGGACUGAGACACGGCCCAAACUCCUACGGGAGGCAGCAGUGGGGAAUAUUGCACAAUGGGGGAAACCCUGAUGCAGCGACGCCGCGUGAGUGAAGAAGUAUCUCGGUAUGUAAAGCUCUAUCAGCAGGGAAGAAAAUGACGG
RNAcentral lists this ribosomal RNA (447 nucleotides) under uncultured bacterium. RNAcentral describes it as "bacterial SSU rRNA". It matches the Rfam family "Bacterial small subunit ribosomal RNA", at positions 28 to 457 of the family's 1533-position model. The record is from RNAcentral.